UACAGAGGAUGCAAGCGUUGUCCGGAAUUACUGGGCGUAAAGCGUGCGCAGGCGGCUUCUCAAGUCAGGGGUGAAAGCCCAGAGCUCAACUCUGGAAUUGCCUUUGAGACUGAGUGGCUUGAGUACGGGAGAGGUGAGUGGAAUUCCCAGUGUAGAGGUGAAAUGCGUAGAGAUCCGGAGGAACCCCAGAGGCGAAGGCGACGCCCUGGCUCGUACCUGACGCUCAGCCACGAAAGCAUGGGGAGCGAACGGG
This 253-nucleotide ribosomal RNA is filed under the name uncultured bacterium. Its description in RNAcentral is "partial 16S ribosomal RNA". It matches the Rfam family "Bacterial small subunit ribosomal RNA", at positions 524 to 776 of the family's 1533-position model. The record is from RNAcentral.